UGAAUACGAGAUGCUACGGCGUCGAAGCAGUGUAUGUCAGACUUCCAAGAAAAGCUCGCAAUGUCAUAAAUAAAGAAUGCCUGUACCAUAACCGACACAGGUGGGUAGGUAGAGUAUACUAAGGGGCGCGAGAUAACUCUCUCUAAGGAACUCGGCAAAAUAACUCCGUAACUUCGGGAGAAGGAGUGCCUUCUUUAAGAAGGUUGCAAUAACAAGAUCCAAGCAACUGUUUAUCAAAAACACAGGUCUCCGCUAAGUCGUAAGACGAUGUAUGGGGGCUGACGCCUGCCCAGUGCCAGAAGGUUAAAGAAGUUGGUUAGCUUUUGCGAAGCUGAUGACUGAAGCCCUGGUGAACGGCGGCCGUAACUAUAACGGUCCUAAGGUACCGAAAUUCCUUGUCGGGUAAGUUCCGACCCGCACGAAAGGCGUAAUGAUUUGGAUACUGUCUCGGAGAGGGACUCGGUGAAAUAGACUUGUCUGUGAAGAUGCGGACUACCUGCACCAGGACAGAAAGACCCUAUGAAGCUUUACUGUAACUUGAAAUUGAAAUUGGACUUUAUUUGCGCAGUAUAGGUGGAAGGCGUUGAAAGUAAUCUUGCGGGAUUAGUGGAGCCAUCAGUGAGAUACCACUCCUAUAAUGUUAGAUUUCUAACUUUGGAUCAUGAUCUGGUCAAAGAACAGUUUCAGGCGGGCAGUUUGACUGGGGCGGUCGCCUCCCAAAUGGUAACGGAGGCGUACAAAGGUUUCCUCUGAACGGGUAGAAAUCGUAUCUAGAGUGUAAAGGCAUAAGGAAGCUUGACUGUGAGACCUACAAGUCGAGCAGGGACGAAAGUCGGUCUUAGUGAUCUGACGGUGCUGAGUGGAAAGGCCGUCACUCAACGGAUAAAAGUUACUCUAAGGAUAACAGGCUGAUCUCCCCCAAGAGUUCACAUCGACGGGGAGGUUUGGCACCUCGAUGUCGGCUCAUCGCAUCCUGGGGCGGUAGUACGUCCCAAGGGUUGGGCUGUUCGCCCAUGAAAGCGGUACGCGAGCUGGGUUCAGAACGUCGUGAGACAGUUCGGUCCAUAUCCGGUGUAGGCGUUAGAAUAUUGAGAGGAGCCUUCUUUAGUACGAGAGGACCGAGAAGGACAUACCUCUGGUGUACCAGUUAUCGUGCCAACGGUAAACGCUGGGUAGCUAUGUAUGGAGAGGAUAACCGCUGAAAGCAUCUAAGUGGGAAGCCCACCUCAAGAUGAGUAUUCUC
This 1243-nucleotide ribosomal RNA is filed under the name metagenome. RNAcentral describes it as "bacterial LSU rRNA". It matches the Rfam family "Bacterial large subunit ribosomal RNA", at positions 1564 to 2815 of the family's 2925-position model. The record is from RNAcentral.